AUUUUAUUAUAUGUAGGUACACAGUAUAUAUACAGUAUGUUAUAUUGUAUUACUAUUACAUACGCGUGUGCACAAUUUUUUUUCUGCAAUAGGUUUUGUGUUUUCGUUUGUUUUUGUUUUUUUUUAAUAGGCACCUUCGAAUGAACAGCGAGGCGUCUCGCGGAGAGUAAACAUAACAAUAAUUACGUGUUAUAAAAAAAUCUAAUUGCAUUAUAUUAUACGGGUAUACCUAUCGUACAAUCAUCGUACAAUAAUAAUAAUACAACUAUUAUCGUAUAAUGACGUACAUUGCAUAUUAUAAUAUACGUAUUACGUACUUAUAUUACCUAUACGGACUAUAAUUUGGCCAGACGACUACUAUUCCGGAUAGAGCAAAUAUAAAUAGGCGCCGGGUCUCGCAAAAAUCAAAUUCAAAAAUAUAAAAAAAAAAAAUU
Molecule: non-coding RNA, 434 nt
Organism: Cinara cedri
Lineage: Eukaryota; Metazoa; Arthropoda; Insecta; Hemiptera; Aphididae
Source: the annotation of a GenBank genome assembly